GGUGAACGCUGGCGGCGUGCCUAACACAUGCAAGUCGAGCGGUGCGGUUUGAAGCUUCGGUGGAAAGCUGCAUAGCGGCGGACGGGUGAGGAAAACGUAGGAACGUGCCCCUUGGAGUUGGAUAGCCACGGGAAACUGUGGGUAAACCGACAUAGACUCGAGAGAGUAAAGGCCGAAAGGCGCCAAGGGAGCGGCCUGCGGCCCAUCAGGUAGUUGGUAGUGUAAAGGACUACCAAGCCGACGACGGGUAGCCGGUCUGAGAGGAUGUACGGCCACACUGGGACUGAGACACGGCCCAGACUCCUACGGGAGGCAGCAGUGGGGAAUCUUCCGCAAUGGGCGCAAGCCUGACGGAGCAACGCCGCGUGGGUGAAGAAGGCCUUCGGGUUGUAAAGCCCUGUCUUAUGGGAAGAAGUACAGUGACGGUACCAUAGGAGGAAGCCACGGCUAACUAACGUGCCAGCAGCCGCGGUAAAAUAAGCGUAACU
This 488-nucleotide ribosomal RNA is filed under the name uncultured bacterium. RNAcentral describes it as "bacterial SSU rRNA". It matches the Rfam family "Bacterial small subunit ribosomal RNA", at positions 28 to 536 of the family's 1533-position model. The record is from RNAcentral.